GAUGAAGAACGUAGCGAAAUGCGAUAAGUAGUGUGAAUUGCAGAAUUCAGUGAAUCAUCGAAUCUUUGAAUGCACAUUGCGGCCAUAGGUAUUCCUUUGGCCAUGCCUGUUCGAGCGUCAUUUACACCCUCAAGCCUAGCUUGGUGUUGGGCGUCUGUCCCGCCGUUCUCGCGCGCGGACUCGCCUCAAAGUCAUUGGCGGCGGUCGUGCCGGCCCCCUCGCGCAGCACAUUUGCGCUUCUCGGAGGCCCGGCGGAUCCGCGCUCCAGCAAGACCUUUCACGACUUGACCUCGGAUCAGGUAGGGAUACCCGCUGAACUUAAGCAUAUCAAUAAGCGGAGGA
RNAcentral lists this unclassified non-coding RNA (342 nucleotides) under soil metagenome. Its description in RNAcentral is "partial contains 5.8S ribosomal RNA, internal transcribed spacer 2, and large subunit ribosomal RNA". The stretch from base 1 to 120 matches the Rfam family "5.8S ribosomal RNA", at positions 35 to 154 of the family's 154-position model. The record is from RNAcentral.